GACGAACGCUGGCGGCGUGCUUAACACAUGCCAGUCGAACGGAAAGGCCCUGCUUUUGUGGGGUGCUCGAGUGGCGAACGGGUGAGUAACACGUGAGUAACCUGCCCUUGACUUUGGGAUAACUUCAGGAAACUGGGGCUAAUACCGGAUAGGAGCUCCUGCUGCAUGGUGGGGGUUGGAAAGUUUCGGCGGUUGGGGAUGGACUCGCGGCUUAUCAGCUUGUUGGUGGGGUAGUGGCUUACCAAGGCUUUGACGGGUAGCCGGCCUGAGAGGGUGACCGGCCACAUUGGGACUGAGAGACGGCCCAGACUCCUACGGGAGGCAGCAGGGGGGAAUAUUGCACAAUGGGCGGAAGCCGGAUGCAGCAACGCCGCGUGUGGGAUGACGGCCUUCGGGUUGUAAACCGCUUUCGCCUGUGACGAAGCGUGAGUGACGGUAAUGGGUAAAGAAGCACCGGCUAACUACGUG
This 468-nucleotide ribosomal RNA is filed under the name uncultured bacterium. Its description in RNAcentral is "partial 16S ribosomal RNA". It matches the Rfam family "Bacterial small subunit ribosomal RNA", at positions 28 to 507 of the family's 1533-position model. The record is from RNAcentral.